UCCAGCUCCCAAAACCUGUCGUGGGUUUUGUCCCAAGUGACUUCAGCCAGCAGAUGGUUCAAGUCCUGAGGCUGCAAAAUUCGGGGUGGAAGGAGUGGGGCGUAAGGCUGAGAGUGGGGAGAGCAAUCCAGGGGCGCCAGGGUGGGAGCCGCAGCGGGCCCGCGGCCGCCCGGAGGACACUGAUGCUUCUGGAGCUCGCGAAGGGUCCCCCGCGGGAGAGGAACAAGGCCGCUUGCGCUCCGCAGAGGCGCAGGCACGGGGCUGGGGCCCGGGGCGGGGGCGCGGGUGGGCGGACCCCUCCCGCAAGCCCAUGAUGGCCAGGCCAAGGCCGCUGGGAAAGGCAGGACGCUCGCCCAUGCGCUGCCAGCUGGGCUUUUCUCCUUCGCCCGCCCUGUGUUCCAGGGCGCGACCCCGUUCGGUCCAGCCGCUGGCUCCGGGGCUGAACCCCAGGUAGAACUGGAAGAUUUUGCUGAAAGAUUGGACAUGGCAUUCAGAGAAACAGAGGUUUUAAUGACAAACUCCAAGUUUUUGGCUGGAGCAACUGGAAGAAUGAGGUUGCCAUGAACCGAAAAGAGAGAUUGCAGAAGUAACCAAAUUUACUCACGUAGGCCAGGAAUUUCUAUGACGUGUUCCAAAUUCAGCCUCUCACUGAACACUUCCAGAGCAAGGCAACAUAAACAUCUGCAAGAAGAACAUUGUGUGAGAAAUAUCAAGUGAGAGUGGAAGAGUCUGCGGAGGGCCUCCCUGGGGCUCACCUGUGCUUUUGCCUGAGCUUCACCGUGUCAAGGAUGCAGCACUUUUUCCCUCUGGAGGAAGCAGCUUUCACCUUGGAAGAAUCUUGACCUUGCCAUUCAAAGUCACCAGACAGGGAAUCUGCCAGUGCCUUGAUCUUAGACUUCCCAGCUUCUGUAACUGUGAGCAAUAAAUGUAUGCUGCUUAUAAACUA
Molecule: long non-coding RNA, 946 nt
Filed under: Homo sapiens (human)
Lineage: Eukaryota; Metazoa; Chordata; Mammalia; Primates; Hominidae
Description: HSALNT0338178
Source: RNAcentral